AGUAACGCGUGAGGAACCUGCCUUUCAGAGGGGGACAACAGUUGGAAACGACUGCUAAUACCGCAUGAUACAUUUGGGUGGCAUCAUCUGAAUGUCAAAGAUUUAUCGCUGAAAGAUGGCCUCGCGUCUGAUUAGCUGGUUGGUAAGGUAACGGCUUACCAAGGCGACGAUCAGUAGCCGACCUGAGAGGGUGACCGGCCACAUUGGGACUGAGACACGGCCCAA
This 225-nucleotide ribosomal RNA is filed under the name uncultured bacterium. Its description in RNAcentral is "partial 16S ribosomal RNA". It matches the Rfam family "Bacterial small subunit ribosomal RNA", at positions 109 to 334 of the family's 1533-position model. The record is from RNAcentral.